RNAcentral lists this ribosomal RNA (714 nucleotides) under uncultured bacterium. RNAcentral's name for it is "bacterial SSU rRNA". It matches the Rfam family "Bacterial small subunit ribosomal RNA", at positions 217 to 922 of the family's 1533-position model. The record is from RNAcentral.
GCAUCGGGACGGGCCCGCGGCCCAUUAGCUUGUUGGUGAGGUAACGGCUCACCAAGGCGACGAUGGGUAGCUGGUCUGAGAGGACGAUCAGCCACACUGGGACUGAGACACGGCCCAGACUCCUACGGGAGGCAGCAGUGGGGAAUCUUGCGCAAUGCGCGAAAGCGUGACGCAGCAACGCCGCGUGGAGGAAGACGGUCCUCGGAUUGUAAACUCCUUUCAGUUGGGACGAAGCUCAACGGGUUAAUAGCCCGGUGGAGUGACGGUACCUUCAGAAGAAGCCCCGGCUAACUACGUGCCAGCAGCCGCGGUAAUACGUAGGGGGCUAGCGUUGUCCGGAAUCGUUGGGCGUAAAGCGCGUGUAGGCGGUCCGGUAAGUCCGCUGUGAAAGUCGGGGGCUCAACCCUCGAAUGCCGGUGGAUACUGUCGGGCUAGAGUGCGGAAGAGGCGAGUGGAAUUCCUGGUGUAGCGGUGAAAUGCGCAGAUAUCAGGAGGAACACCAAUUGCGAAGGCAGCUCGCUGGGACGUUACUGACGCUGAGACGCGAAAGCGUGGGGAGCAAACAGGAUUAGGUACCCUGGUAGUCCACGCUGUAAACGAUGGGCUCUAGGUGUGGGGGGUGUCGACUCCCUCCGUGCCGAAGCUAACGCAUUAAGUGCCCCGCCUGGGGAGUACGGCCGCAAGGCUAAAACUCAAAGGAAUUGACGGAAUCGA